RNAcentral lists this ribosomal RNA (386 nucleotides) under Cerataulina sp. RNAcentral describes it as "partial small subunit ribosomal RNA". It matches the Rfam family "Eukaryotic small subunit ribosomal RNA", at positions 587 to 975 of the family's 1831-position model. Lineage: Eukaryota; Bacillariophyta; Thalassiosirophyceae; Eucampiales; Eucampiaceae. The record is from RNAcentral.
AGCUCCAAUAGCGUAUAUUAAAGUUGUUGCAGUUAAAAAGCUCGUAGUUGAAUUUCUGGUGGGAGUGUACAGUCCGACACUGAGUGUUGGUUCUUGUAUGUCUCCGGCCAUCCUUGGAGUGAAUCUGUCUGGCAUUCAGUUGUUGGGCAGAGUAUCUCCAUCGUUUACUGUGAGGAAAUGAAAGUGUUCAAAGCAGGCUUACGCCGUUGAAUCUUUUAGCAUGGAAUAAUAAGAUAGGAUCUUGAUACUAUUUUGUUGGUUUGCGUGUUAAGAUAAUGAUGAAUAGGGACAGUUGGGGGUAUUUGUAUUCCAUAGUCAGAGGUGAAAUUCUUGGAUUUAUGGAAGACAAACUAAUGCGAAAGCAUCUACCAAGGAUGUUUUCAUUA